This 45-nucleotide non-coding RNA is filed under the name Schistosoma mansoni. Lineage: Eukaryota; Metazoa; Platyhelminthes; Trematoda; Strigeidida; Schistosomatidae. The record is from RNAcentral.
AUUCAUCUGACGAGUCCCGAAUAGGACGAAACGCGCGUCAUGGAU